RNAcentral lists this ribosomal RNA (253 nucleotides) under uncultured bacterium. RNAcentral's name for it is "partial 16S ribosomal RNA". It matches the Rfam family "Bacterial small subunit ribosomal RNA", at positions 524 to 776 of the family's 1533-position model. The record is from RNAcentral.
UACGUAGGGUGCGAGCGUUAAUCGGAAUUACUGGGCGUAAAGUGUGCGCAGGUGGCCGCGCAAGUCGAGUGUGAAAUCCCCGGGCUUAACUUGGGAAUUGCGCUCGAAACUACGUGGCUCGAGUGUGGCAGAGGAAGGUGGAAUUCCACGUGUAGUGGUGGAAUGCGUAGAUAUCGUGAGGAAUACCAGUGGCGAAAGCGACAUCCUGGCAUUAGCCUGACGCUCAUGUGCGAAAGCGUGGGGAGCGAACGGG